UUAUUGUUUUAUAUUCUUUUUUUUUUUUUUUUCUUUUUAAUUCUUCCUUUCGUGGUUUGGAUUCUAGUGACGUGGGCCAGCUGUUGCAAAAACGAGACUCUACUCCCUCCCUCUUGUAACUUAAUCGUUUAUGGAGAACCCACAUUCACCAGAAAAUCGGUUAAUUAGUAAGAGCGACCUCGUUUUUUUUAUUCGUUCUUACCUUCUUAGGAAAAUUUGUUUAAUUAAUGAAUGCAUUUUCCAUUAACUCUCGUUUAAUUAAGAAUCAAAAGUAAUAUUCUUUCAGUGUUGGUUUGGAAGGGAAAAAUUAACUUGGCCAACUGUUUCUCGAUUAAAAAUUCGGAUAUUUUACUCGGUCUAAUUCAGUUAUCAAGCGUGUUUUAUGUCAGGAACAAUCCUCUAAUGAAUAAACUUCACCCUCACUGACGUGCUGGAAGGUCAGCUCCUAAAUCUGGUUACCAACUUCUAAGAAUCACGUUUUCGCUACCGCAAUGGGGAUCGUCCCAUCUGCUACCAUGGUGAAGCUCACGAUUUAACCAAUUAACUAUUGUUAAGUUCCUGUAGAUGUUCGCUCAUAAAUUUCAUAACGAUUAAGAAUACAUCUACUUUACGCUAUGUGUAUGAAUAACAUUUUUACUGUUGACACGACGCAGCCGUUAUACCGUAACUAGAAAUAACUUAUAAAUAGUUUAAACUACUAAAAAUGCUAUUAUUAAAUAGAUAGCGAUACGAAAACAUUUAAUAGUUAAAGAACUUUUGGUUUUGGAGUAAACAGUGCAGUUUCAAUAAAAAAAGUUGCAGCGACGAAAGGUAAAAUGGAUCGCGUUAUUUCCUUUAGUAUAAUAAAUAUCAACCGUUUUUACGAAGGGAAGAGAAGGAAAAAAAAUUUAUGUUUUCUACUUGAAAUUCUCCAGUACAUGAGAAACUCGUUAGCAACCCCAUAUUCUCCCAAAUCCCUAAAUUCCUGUUUAAAGAUUCUCCUCAUCCAUAAAGCAAUUCGAAGAUCUCAUAUCCGGGAUAAAUCUAUAGAAAGGCAAAGUUAGAUGAGGAGAAGCGUGACGAGAUGACAGGGUUUGGCGAUUUCAUAGGGAAUCAACCCUAUGUUUUUUGAAGGGACAUCUCACAUUCCAUCCCUUCUCUCUAGCAACUAAAGGUAUUUUGUAUGGUGGGAGUUAUUGCAGCCCGGGGCAAAAGCAAUAACCUUGUAUUCUCAUAUUGAGUUGGAAAGAGGAGACGUUUUUCAGAUUACUGCUCUUUGGACCGGGUUGUUUUCGUUUCUCCAUUUUGGAGUUGGAACAAAAUAGCCCAAGUUACUAGUUCCUGCUCUGGAUUACUAGAUGUCAGAACUCUGGUUUAAGUUUCAAAAUAAACAGAACGGGCAAUUUAUAAGAGAGUACUUUGCCCUUCCACCGUAUGGAAGAAACACAAGAAAUUUAUGGAAUUUGACAAAAUUAAAACUUUGUUAGGAAGUUAGCCGGGGAGAGUUUCAUUUCGUUUCAAUGAGAUGAAUUGAACUCGAAGCCAACAGAUUGAUAAGGUCAAAAAAUCAUUAAAUAUAAUAAUGUUCAGAAAUUUUGUAAUUCUUUAAAGAUUUAUCAUCUAAGUCGCGUUAAAUUUCUAUCGAAAAUUUUUAAAGCGCGCAUUUACAUAGCAGACAAACAAUAACGGUAAAGGAAAAAGGUUUUACACCAUUCUCAGUUAUGUUACUGCGACAGUAUGUUGUCAUAGUCAUACAACUUUCACGACACUUAUCAUCUAGACAAGAUGGUGCGUGUGUAGCUUCUUUCCAGCAGAAGAGCAAUUUCGACUGGCCCAACUUUGCUACAACUAUAGCCAAAAUCUGUUACCAUGCUGAGAAAUAUUUCAUUUUUAUGCCGAUAAUAAUCAUCUCGCAAUUUAAUUCGUUUAAGUUUUAUUUUACAUAAAUUUUUGAGGGGAGUUUUAUUCGAAGUAAAUCUUUUAACAAGAUAUGGUUACUCUAGCUUAAUAUUUUUCGAGAAAUAAUUGGCUUUCGAUAGAAUUUUCUGAAAAUGUAAAAAAUAAUUGCCAUCUAAUUACUAUUAAUUUAUAUCAGUCGUACCCAAUGAAGUGAGUAGUUUCUAUAAGAUGAUAUAAAAAAA
RNAcentral lists this long non-coding RNA (2120 nucleotides) under Androctonus crassicauda. The record is from RNAcentral. Lineage: Eukaryota; Metazoa; Arthropoda; Arachnida; Scorpiones; Buthidae.